UUACAAAUGAGACUAGUGCAGGGUAACAGUGAACGUGGAAAAAGUAAGACCUCAUCUACUUUGAAAUCUGCAGGCAUCAGCCAUCCAGUCCUGUUUGCUAUCAAUGUUACAGCAGCAGCUUCUGUGAUUGGUGAUGGGAGCAUGAAUGCUGUUAAAUACUGUUGUCUUCAUAAAAAUGACGGAGCAAGCUGAACAUUUCAUUCCACAGAGGAAACAGUCCAGAAGAGUCAGAUGGCCAUCCAAUCAGAAAAGUCCCAUCCUCUGUGUACAACCUGAAGAGUCAAGGGAUAAGAAACACGGAAAAUGUGACCAGACACCCACACAGGACUCCCACCUCCUAUGGUGCACCCGUGAUCAGGAAAUCCUUGUCCAGGAAGAUGAAGUGGAAAAAAAGCCCUUCUAUUUAUUUCAGAGCCUCCUAAAUUUUUAUGUGAAAAAUCAAUUUGUUCUCAUUAAAUGCAUGGCAUCCUCUCAGAACAAUAGAUCACCCCACUGGGCUCAUGAAAGGGUCGUUUGCUCUUUUAAGACUUCUUCAAGUGCCUGCCCUCACUGUGCCCAUUAACCCUGUGCCGCUAAAGUAUGAGCUUCCUUCAGAACCAAGCACAUCAUUUGGGUGAGCAGCAUGGCAGGCAUUAAACAUGCCCCCAAACUUUGAAAUGCUGCUUCCUGAAAGAACACAGAAGAAACACGUCAGAACAUUUGCAAGGAGUUUUUGGACAUGACCCUAAGACCACAGGAAGCAAAGACAAAAAUAGAAAAAAAAUUAACUUUCAUCAAAUUACAAAGUGUCCG
RNAcentral lists this long non-coding RNA (792 nucleotides) under Cricetulus griseus (Chinese hamster). RNAcentral describes it as "lncRNA (ENSCGRG00015029499.1)". Lineage: Eukaryota; Metazoa; Chordata; Mammalia; Rodentia; Cricetidae. The record is from RNAcentral.